Non-coding RNA from Chelonoidis abingdonii (Abingdon island giant tortoise), 95 nucleotides. NCBI's taxonomy places the organism in Eukaryota, Metazoa, Chordata, Testudines, Testudinidae. The record is from RefSeq and is a predicted model, not a curated record.
GGAAGCCGAGCUGAAAAACCUGGGGCACAGCUGGGAAAUUAUUGAAAGACGUGUCAGAAACAGACAGGAGCUUAGGAGUUUAGUCUCUGCCCUAA